Oreochromis niloticus (Nile tilapia) is the source of this 595-nucleotide long non-coding RNA. RefSeq lists it as uncharacterized. The record is from RefSeq and is a predicted model, not a curated record. Lineage: Eukaryota; Metazoa; Chordata; Actinopteri; Cichliformes; Cichlidae. The transcript is spliced from 3 exons.
CAAGUCUGAUUAUCUGUACAUCACUUCUGAAAGGAUCUGAAAGUACUGAUCUGAAUUUCACCAAAGAUGCUACUACAGCAGAAAAAAGGAUGUGGAUGAUCGGAGCAGUGCUGAUAGUGGAUGCCUUUCUGCUUGUGUUGCCUUUUCUGCUUAAUCAAUGCAGGACUGAGUGACAGCUGCACCUCCAGUGUCUCAGUUUAAUGCCUGUUUAAAUGUCAAUGGACACUUUUUAUUAUUAAAAAAAACGAUCUUUUUUUUUUCUCUGACCUUCAUACAGUAACAACUGUAGCAUCACACAAGAGCACGAUCAAUACUGUUUCCACACAGAGAAUCGUGCUCAUUGUUAUUGUGAUCUUACAGUAGCUUUAUUAAUAUAAUGGUUUCUUUGAGUGAAAAAGCUGUAUUUCUGUACAAAGCCAGUUUCUACAAUGAGAUUGGUGUAACAAAGUAGUUGUAUUCAGUGUAACUCAUUUACAACAUAAGUGAAAAUAUUGUUUCCUCUGCAGAAAUUGUUUACUUUCUUUAUACCAUACCAAGUAAUGAAAACACCAAAAAUCAAAGUAAUGUUAAACAGAUCCAAACCUUUUUCUUGAAU